RNAcentral lists this ribosomal RNA (460 nucleotides) under uncultured bacterium. RNAcentral describes it as "partial 16S ribosomal RNA". It matches the Rfam family "Bacterial small subunit ribosomal RNA", at positions 338 to 795 of the family's 1533-position model. The record is from RNAcentral.
CCUACGGGCGGCAGCCGUGAGGAAUAUUGGUCAAUGGACGAGAGUCUGAACCAGCCAAGUAGCGUGAAGGAUGACUGCCCUAUGGGUUGUAAACUUCUUUUAUAUGGGAAUAAAACGUUCCACGUGUGGGAUUUUGUAUGUACCAUAUGAAUAAGGAUCGGCUAACUCCGUGCCAGCAGCCGCGGUAAUACGGAGGAUCCGAGCGUUAUCCGGAUUUAUUGGGUUUAAAGGGAGCGUAGGUGGAUUGUUAAGUCAGUUGUGAAAGUUUGCGGCUCAACCGUAAAAUUGCAGUUGAAACUGGCAGUCUUGAGUACAGUAGAGGUGGGCGGAAUUCGUGGUGUAGCGGUGAAAUGCUUAGAUAUCACGAAGAACUCCGAUUGCGAAGGCAGUUCACUGGACUGCAACUGACACUGAGGCUCGAAAGUGUGGGUAUCAAACAGGAUUAGAUACCCUGGUAGUC